Molecule: ribosomal RNA, 589 nt
Filed under: uncultured Pseudozyma
Lineage: Eukaryota; Fungi; Basidiomycota; Ustilaginomycetes; Ustilaginales; Ustilaginaceae
Description: LSU rRNA
Rfam family: Eukaryotic large subunit ribosomal RNA
Source: RNAcentral
ACGGCGAGUGAGAGAGGAAGAGCCCAAGAUUGAAAGCUGGCGUCUUCGGCGUCCGCAUUGUAAUCUCAAGAAGUGUUUUCCGCUUCGGACCAUGCCUAAGUCCCUUGGAAAAGGGCAUCAUAGAGGGUGAUAAUCCCGUACAUGGCAUGGAGCGCCCGAAGCUUUGUGAUACGCUUUCUACGAGUCGAGUUGAUUGGGAAUGCAGCUCAAAAUGGGUGGUAAAUGCCAUCUAAGGCUAAAUAUUGGGGAGAGACCGAUAGCGAACAAGUACAGUGAUGGAAAGAUGAAAAGAACUUUGAAAAGAGAGUUAAACAGUACGUGAAAUUGCCAAAAGGGAAGGGUAGGAGGUCAGAGAUGUGUCUUGGGAUUCAGCCUUGCUUUUGCAUGGUGUUUUUCCCAAGUUGCAGGCCAACGUCGGUUUUGGGCACUGGAGAAGGGUAGGAGGAACGUGGCACCUCUCGGGGUGUGUUAUAGCCUCCUACUGGAUACAGCGACCGAGACCGAGGAACGCAUCGUACUCGUAAGAGCGGGCCUUUUGGCACCUUUACGCUACGGCGUUGGCAUAAUGGCCCUCUACCACCCGUCUUGA